RNAcentral lists this ribosomal RNA (40 nucleotides) under Penicillium sp. VN8-2-1. RNAcentral describes it as "partial small subunit ribosomal RNA". The record is from RNAcentral. Lineage: Eukaryota; Fungi; Ascomycota; Eurotiomycetes; Eurotiales; Aspergillaceae.
AGGGGCUUCCGUAGGGUGAACCUGCGGAAGGAUCAUUACC